GGGGUUCAAGUGAUGAUUGAUAAUGCAUAGUUCAGAUGAAUAAAUACUAUGAUUAAUAUCUUCAGCACAGUCUUUCGCUCCUAUCUGAUGAUCCCC
This is a small nucleolar RNA of Capsella rubella, 96 nucleotides long. It matches the Rfam family "Small nucleolar RNA snR60/Z15/Z230/Z193/J17". Rfam says of the family: The members of this family belong to the C/D class of snoRNAs which contain the C (UGAUGA) and D (CUGA) box motifs. Most of the members of the box C/D family function in directing site-specific 2'-O-methylation of substrate RNAs. The family includes the yeast snoRNA snR60 (also known as Z15) and the corresponding human guide snoRNA U80 (SNORD80). Lineage: Eukaryota; Viridiplantae; Streptophyta; Magnoliopsida; Brassicales; Brassicaceae. The record is from Rfam.